CUCUUUUAGCUUGGGAAAAUGGCUCUCGAAAGGGAGAAGGUUCCACGAGUCCCAGAAACUUUACUCAAGAAAAGGAAAAGUCUUGAGAAGGUUAAAGCUGCCCGUGAGGCUGCCAAGGUUGCACAGAAAAAGGUAGGU
Long non-coding RNA from Exaiptasia diaphana, 138 nucleotides. RefSeq lists it as uncharacterized. The record is from RefSeq and is a predicted model, not a curated record. NCBI's taxonomy places the organism in Eukaryota, Metazoa, Cnidaria, Anthozoa, Actiniaria, Aiptasiidae. The transcript is spliced from 2 exons.